GGUUUACUUGCUAAAAUCUCAUCUUCUUCUCUUAAUUAGGCAUUUUCAUGCAAUGAACCAUAUGGAAGUCAAUGAAAAAGGUGUUGAUGUGGAGCAUGGAUGCUGACUGAUAAAGCUGGCAGAUGGGGAGAUCAUCGGCUUUGAAGACUGUGAGGUUUCCUCUGAAACUAAAUAAAUAAGAUGGGCAGAACUAGAUGGCAAUGAGGAUGUGCAGCGUGGCUUCUCUGCAUCAUCAGCAAUUGCUCAGGAGAUGUGCCACCGGCAGCCAGUGGUGCAGCUCGGGGGGCUGUGGCUGAGCUGGAAAUGCCCGAAGGAGCACUGAACGGCCCAGAUUCUGUCACCUUUACUUCCAGCAAGGCAUUUGUCCCAUGGUCCUCUCCAUCUCUUGGAAGAAAUAAAGUUUUGCGAAGCAGAUCCUGGCUGGCCAUGACUCGCCUUCCCCAUCUGGCUCUUUUACCGAGGGAGAGGCAGCCCUCAUGGCUCAGGACUACGCUGCGCUUGGUGUCUGUUGCUCAAGCAGGCUGCAAAAUGAAUUUCUCCCCAAAAGCUCACAAUCUAAGAUCAGGAAUGAUUCAUGGACUAAAAGAUGUUUUCCAAGAAAUAAUGUUAUAUCUCAGUAAGGAGGAAAAUGUAGAUGUGAAAAACUUCUCUGCUUUCCUGGGGAGCUGCCAGUUUUGUGGGCUUGCCCAUGUGUUGUCCCGAUCCUCCUGCAUCCCACGGCACCAAACCCACUCCAGGGUGGCCUCGCAGGGGAGAGCAGCCGUGCCUUCACAGCUUCCAAGGGGACCAAAAGCACCUGAGCAUCCCCCCAGCUCUGAUGGGACCUCCUUGCAUCCUGGAAAGCAUUGGCAGGAAAACUCUGAGGUCAUUGCAGGUCAGACUGUGGGUGUUGCAUAAAAAGGAGAUUUGGGCUGUGGACACAUGAGCACGUUGCCCUGAGGAUCCCAUAAAUCAACUGACCUGUGAGAGCCGCUUCUAAUCUGCGGCGAAAACCAGCCCAUGCAAGGUAACUUGAUUUCCUUAAUUAAAGAGAUUCUCAUUUUCUUUCCUUGGAGCUGGCCAAAGUCAGUGGAGCAGCAGUACCUCGGAUAACCCCAUAUUAUGCAGGAGGACACGGGCAGGUCCCGCAGAGGCCCUGGCACGGCUGGCGGUAUGCUCUGCGGCUUCUGCUUGUGCAAAGCCAGGCCUCCCACACUGGUACACUGGAACAGAUGUUUUAAAGUAAGCUCCACGAAAGACACAGGAACGUGACCAUUUCCUCCUUGGUGUUUGUCACCUUAAUUCAAGAGCCUUGAGUGUGCAUGGAGGAUUGUAUCAUGGGCACGUGGGAAGUCUUUGUACUCAGUCCAUAUGUGAAUCUUGCAUUUUUUAGGGUAUAUUCAAUAUAAGUAUGUACUUGCACAAAGACAUAAGUGCCUCAAAAGCAAGCACAUUUGCUGCCAUGCAGUCAUGCAGCGUUUUCUUAGAUCUGUGCUGCAAGCUAUUUAUUGCAUUUUUAAUUUUAAGUUGGUUCAGAAAGGAGACUCGCCUGGGAUUUUUCGCUGCCGUUCGGCCACCCAGUUCCCACUGAAGCUGAGUGAGGGAUUUUGCUGUGAAAAGAUGAUGAUUUUGCAAGAACGCAAAACCUGUGCUGACAUGGGUGGGAGUUGCGCCUCUGGAAUGAUUAAAGACCAAAGCCAAUGAGAUGACUGCAAGGCAUUAGCCCGGGAUCUGGGAAAUCUGUACUCUUUGCUCUGCAACUGUGUCUUCUUAAUAAGGGGCAGCUUAAGGUUACCCAAAACUCAAUCCUGCUGAUCAUCUGCAUCACGAACUUCUAAAUUCCUCUCUCAGAAGCUGCCCGGUUUGACCUUGAAAGCUGCGAUCAGCAUCUAGGUGGGAGGGCAGCUCUCCUCGAGCCUUUUCUCCUCCAUGCCCAGGGCGGUGCGGUGCGAUGGGCCGGGCUCUCCUCCUCACCUGCUCCUCCGGCUGCGCUCCUCAACGCAUUAUUUCUUGGGCAAGUGGAGCCCAAGAGAGCACUCACAAGACGGGCUUUCCCACGUACUGGGAAGGAAUUGGCUCUUUCCUUCUCUACAAAGACACAUGAUCAGACUUCCACGGCACAUCCAGCUUUGCUCGAAGGUUUGUGCUUAGCAGAAUACAAGAGGCUGAGAAAUGGCGCAUUACAUGUAAGGUGGUGCAUUCACGGAGAAUUACAUCUCUUCCAGAGAGAGCCCAAUUGCCUGGAUGCGCUAUGGAAAAGUGAUUUCUUUCUGCAUGAAUGCUCGGAACUGUCUGAAAAUUGUCUGUUAAAGCUGCUUCAACUUCUGCCUCUAACGGAGCUACUCACACUCGCUAAACUGGCAAAUGCUGGCUGUAGUGUCUCAGUCUCUUGAUUAUGUCCCAUGCAUUUUCUUGGAUAUAGAAAGAAAAAGCAAAUCAGCAACGAGCAGCACAAUUAGAGCAGGAAGAACCGCAGUGCAAUAAUUGGGCUGGACCCCCAGCUGGCCCCUUUGCAGCAGUGCAUCCUGCGGUGCUGGGGCUCCAGGGCCUGGUCCCCGGCUCCUUCCUCUGGGAUGCACAGAUGAGAGCUGGCAGUGCAGCCAACACGGCUCAGGUGCAGGGUGCUGUGAGAGUUUUCCUUUUUGUCCUUUUCAUUUCUUUCAUCAGAAGAAUAUAAGGCUUGAUACUUUAACACUUGGCCUAAUAUUAACCAGGGAAACGUAUCAGCUGCACUUCAUAGUAUUAAAGAUAUAAGCAAUCUCUAACGGUCUGUUAUUAAUGUGGGUAGAUUGAUUGAAAACGUUUUGCUCUUAAGAAAUUCACAGUUCAUUUCCAGUCAUUAAAAUAAUUAGGUGCUGUGCUCUGAGUGCUCGGCUAAGGGCACAGCUCGGGCCCUGCUGCCCUCGGUGCUGUGCUCCCAGUGCUGUGCUCCCGGUGCCCUCGGCCCCUGCCUGCUCCGACCCCGCUGCUGCAGCAAGGAACCAGCCCAGGGGACUGAUGAAACCCACAGGGAUGCAGCACUUAAGAAGGAGUUUGAUGCUUAAAUGGCUCUGAGAAGCUGGGCCCCCGGUCCUGCCAAAAAGCAUAUGAGUAGCCUGCCCCCACCGUCCCCUUUGUUUUAAUGAGACGGCUUUUAUAAUAAAGAUAUUUCCAUAAAUAAGUGAUUAGAGGAUUGAGCCAAAACCAAUCAAUAAGGAUUAGAUGUAACUCAUGGGAUCAAGAGAAGCCUUUAGUUUUAUUGGA
Cygnus olor (mute swan) is the source of this 3222-nucleotide long non-coding RNA. RefSeq lists it as uncharacterized. The record is from RefSeq and is a predicted model, not a curated record. The transcript is spliced from 7 exons. Lineage: Eukaryota; Metazoa; Chordata; Aves; Anseriformes; Anatidae.